AUCAUCAGGCAACCACCGGACCGCUGGAUGACCAACGCCGAAUGACACACUACCAGAGCCUAUUGCUGACAGAGCGAGUAAGUUUUGCACCCCCAGCCAUUCUCAACCCCGCCUCCUUACUACCUGAGGCUGACGAGGCCCCUACACAUAAGUGUGAAGAAAUACUGGCAAAAGAGACUGGAAUCCGGCCAGACCUCACAGACCAACCUUGGCCAGGGGCGAUGACUUGGUUCACGGACUGAAGCAGCUUUGUAGUAGAAGCCAUCCUGCCCUGUUUCUCAUUCUUACUAUUCCAAAAGAUGAGCAUGUACCACACCACUGAGUUUGCUUUCCUGUUUAUCUCUACAGCAAGAUGGAAAAAUAAACCUUAAACAAGAAAAAUAAAGGUUCCUAUAAGGUUUUAUCAAGAUGAUCAAAGAAAUCACUUCAUGAUUUUAAGAAGGAGAGAAGCUAUGCUGAAGUAUUACCAUAAGAAGAAUAUUCUAAGCCAGGCCCAAUGGCUUACAGUGGUAAUGGAAGCACCUGAAAAGCUACAGCAAGUGGAUUCUACACCAUGGAGAGAGGCCAGCCAGGCUUACAAACUGAAUAAAAGAACAACGUGGCUUUCACAAUGAAUGCCUGACUCAAAAACAGACAGAGGCAGAUGAUAGCUAAAUGAUUGAUAGAUGAUAGAUAGAUAGAAAGAUAGAUGAUAGAUAGAUGGAUGAAUAGAUGAAUAGAUAGAUGACAGAUGAUAGAUAACGGAGGUAGACAUAUACAUUCAUACAUACAUACAUACAUACAUACAUACAUACAUAUACACACACUCACAAACACACACACACACACACACACACACACACACAGAGAUAUUAAGAGAGUGUCCUACUAAAAUAGAACCAGAAAUUUCAGUGCAUGUGCUUGUCUUCAAGCAGGUUACUUUGUUACAGGCUAGAGUGACAAAAAUAAUAUUGGGAAAACAAGAGUUAAUAUUGUCCUUCAGUCUCAUUCAAGGGAUAAGAUGGAGGGCUAACUUGCUCUGGCUUACUAAAAGCAUGAAGAAUCAGUCAUACAAUUAUGGAGUAUUUUUUCUUUCUCAUUUCAUGCUAUGGUUUUCAUAGUGUUACACAACGUAUCAGUAAAGCUCAACUAAGACAAUUACAAAAUACAGGUUAUAUGUUACCAGUUUCAAA
This 1172-nucleotide long non-coding RNA is filed under the name Mus musculus (house mouse). RNAcentral's name for it is "predicted gene, 49991". The record is from RNAcentral. Lineage: Eukaryota; Metazoa; Chordata; Mammalia; Rodentia; Muridae.